Molecule: long non-coding RNA, 348 nt
Organism: Lineus longissimus
Lineage: Eukaryota; Metazoa; Nemertea; Pilidiophora; Heteronemertea; Lineidae
Exons: 3
Source: RefSeq, a predicted model, not a curated record
CAGUCCGCCUGAAUCCACGCAGUAAAAGUCCCUCCCGAUUCUGACCAUGAAGAUGUUUUGUGUGUUCCUGCUACUAGUCGUGGUAAUUCUGUUGCCAGCGGCGAAUGCUACUUGCAACCGCCCAGAUAUCUUCACGGCGACACGGCAACAGAAAUGUGAGGAUUAUUGUGAAUCUGAAGGUUCCGAUAAUAUGGACGCGGCACAAUAUUGUUACCAAAUUAAAUGCCUUGGUCGUCUAGCUUGCUGCCUUGGCUUUGGGACGGACCCAUUCAAUUACUACACUCAGAAUGAAUGCUGUACAUGGAUAGAUGAACUCGAUGAUUAUGUAUCUGUAAUCUGAAACAUUUC